UCCUGCCAAAAAGAAAAAGAGGUACUCUAAGAGGUGUCCCCAGCCCUUUAUGACUCGCUUUUCCUUAGACCAGCCUCUGAAGUUCUACAGUAGUAUCUGCCACAUCUUACAAACCCUAGAGCAGUGAUGGUGAACAUUUUAGAGCUUUCAAUGAUAUAAACAGCCCGCUGCAGCACAUGCAUAGGUUUGCCACCACUGCCCUAGAGCAAUGGUGCUCAACUAAGGAGGUUUUGCCCUCCUAGAAGAAAGUCAGCAAUAUCUGGAGUCAUUUUAGUUUUCUUAACUGCAGGAGGAGAUAACCUAGACAUCUACUGGAUAGAAGCCAAAGAUGCUGUAAACAUCCUGCAAUGUACAGAACAAGUCUUCUACAACAGAGAAUUAUCCACUCCAAAAUGCCAUCGUGCCAAGGCUAAGAAAUAGUGCUCUAGAGGGCAGAAAAAAUAAGCUUAGCAUGAGGAAAGACAGAAAUGAAGCAGGGAAAUGCACAACGCUGCUGUCAUUGCAGACUGUAAAUGAGCACAAAUGACCAAAGGUUCUUUUUUUUUUUUUUUUUGGUAUCAGGGAUCGAACUCAGGUCUUUCCGGUUGUGAAGCAGGCAGUGGAACCACUGAGCUAAAUCCCCAGCCGACCAAAGGUUUUUAAACCAUUCCAAACCCUGUAAACAGUCUAGUCUUCUCUUUGGCCCUGAUCCCAUGGUGUAGCUCAUGAUCUGGGUACUCCUAAGACCCCCCACCCAAACCUAUCCUCCUCAACAUGGCCCAUGCCCACUACUCACAAACAGCCUUGCCUUAGCUGGCAGGGGACUCUGAGCUUCAGCAUCAACAGGAAGAACCCAGGAUGGCAGCAUGGCCCACCAGGAAAACACUGAAGAGGGUUCUAGCUUUGACUCUGCCUUUAGGAAAACCACUCAACCACUCUGAGGCUAGUUUCCUCUUCUGCAAAAUGGAGCUAAAAAUCACAGGCUUCCCUACUUAACUUACAGACUUCUCUGAGUUUCAAAACCAGAUUAUGUAUGUGAAAGUGCUUUGGAUGCCAUAAAAUCCUGUUCAAAUGUGAAGCACUCCCCUAUAGAUGCUCACACUGUGGAGAGGAUAUUAUAAAAAUUAUUCCCAAUGAUAGGAUUCUAUCCAGUGGUAUCUAUGUGCACUCUGGAAUAUGGAGUUCUGGCCUCCUAGGAACAUGAAGGACACCAGAACCCACUGUGAUGCAGUCCACUCCAGGAUCCCCAAGGCACAAAGCUGAGUCUGCCCGCUGAAGAAGCUGAUGCUCAGAAAUAUGAGGAAACUUGCCCAGGAUCCCAAAACUACGGAGUAGAAUGUGAACUCAGACCUUGGCUGGAACAUUCUGAGUACUCAGCUCGGCCCACUGCACACUUUGAGAGCAACACUGAUGGACAGAACAUUCAGAGGACAGUAACAAGGAGGGAACACAAACACCAGCCAAAGGACAGUCAGUGCAACAGAAGUGUGCAGGCCUGAGAUGUAAGCACCAUCUUUCUAUAGCCCUCAUGCAGGAGGAGGAUCAGGCCUGUUCUUUGUGGCCCCAGGACACAGAAUUAGCAACCUGUUUUCUAGUUCACAGCUGCCUAGUGUCAAAGCUGAGGUUUGCCCCCAAGCAUUCUGCCUCCAAGAAGACUCUACAUUUUUUUCAGCCACCCAGGCUGCUUCCCUAUGGAGCUACUACCCCAACCUGCAUCUGAGGCCCUGGCUCUGUGUAUGAGCCCUGAAACACUGGAAACAAGUUAGAUGCUAGCUCCUGCCUCAGAGACUGGUGGCCUGCACACAUCUUCACAGGCUGUUCUCCAGUAUCUCACUCUUCACAACUCAACCCAGCUCUGGACAACUCAAGAUUUCCCCAGCACUCCAGGCUGGCUCAAAUGUCCUCCUGUUUAGUUAAAAUUCCAAAUAAAAUCUAUCUUUAAUUUCAAAUCAUAUUAUAAACCUACUCUGCAGGCAUUCAAAAAAAAAGUAAUCUCCCUGCCAAAGGGGGCAAAAAAGAAUUCUGUCAUUUGCAUCAAAGAUGCCAGCAUGUUUGGAGAGUCAACACACAGGACCUCUCUGACAAGCCACCUGUCUUUUUCUUUUUCUUGGUACCAGGGAUCGAACUCAGGACCUUGUGCUUGCCAGGCAGACACAGCACCACUGAGCUACAUCCCUGGCCCCACCUGUCUUAAAAAGUAAACCAAACCCAGUUUGGGCAAUCAUUUCUUCAAACAAGAAACGUAAGAAUUGGGCUGGGAAUUUAGCUCAGUGGUGCCACCCCUGCCUCAUAAGCUCAAGGUCCCGAGUUCGAUCCCCGAUACCAAAACAAAACAAAACAAAAAGAAAUAUAAGUAUCACCAAGGGAAAUUCCCAGUCCUCAGUUCCCUGGGUAGGUUUCAGGUUCUCCAUCCCUGGGAUGUUGGGAUAGGAGAUCCUGCUUGCACAUGCACCAUUAAGAUACUACGGCUUGGGGCUAGGGAUUUAGCUCAGUGGUUCUGCCGCCUGCCUCGAAAGCGCAAGGUCUGGAGUUCGAUCCCCAGUACCAAAAAAAAAAAAGAUAUUAUGGCUUUCAACCUGAUGCCUUGAUAUUCCAGAGAACCAAAUGGUCACCUUCACUAUAAAUUUAACUUAUUAAGAUGUCUUCCCAUAUGCUGAUGUUUUAGAGCAAUUUUAUUAAACAUGAGAAUGCCAUCCUUGUUCCAGCAAUGAGCAGAACUAAAUGAAGAUAUAUUUCCCAUGAGCUCCUGGCCUCUCUGCAUCAAAUAUUCUCAGCUGAACCUAAAUUAACCUGUAAACGAACUAAUUUGCAUCCAUAAAUCCACAGAAAUGUACCAAUGUAUAGAGUUUAAGAUACUCAGUCUCCACUUCCCAAUCUCAUACAAUUCUCUUAUUAAACUACAAUAUGAUCCUUUCUACAAACCAUUUUCCUCUUUAUAAAAAUAGGAAAAAAGGGAGACCUAAACCACCUACGGUAGAUAUUUCCUUAGCUAGUUACCAUGCCAUAAAAAGAAAAAAAUCUUUGAUACAUUUAUUUUUCUUAGGGAGAAAACCCACAGAGCAGUUUACAAAGGUACCAUAAAACACGUAAAUUUGAAGCCAGGCAUGGUGGUGCACACCUGUAAUCCCAACACUGGUCAGUCUGAGUCUACCUGAGGAACUUGAGGAUCACCUCAAGUUCAAGGCCAGCCUGGGCUACAUGGUGAGUUCAAGGACAGCCUGAACUAUAUGGCAAGACCUGUCUCAAAAAACCAAAACCAAAAAGUCUUAAUAUUUGUCAGCUCACCUAGACCACAAUUCCAGUUUCCAUCCAGCUCUCAGUGAGAGAACUUUUCCGUUCUGACAAUUAAACCCCAGAAAUCUGAUCACUGAUAACUUUAUCAAAAAGAAAA
Molecule: non-coding RNA, 3370 nt
Organism: Heterocephalus glaber (naked mole-rat)
Lineage: Eukaryota; Metazoa; Chordata; Mammalia; Rodentia; Bathyergidae
Source: RefSeq, a predicted model, not a curated record